Molecule: long non-coding RNA, 298 nt
Filed under: Nicotiana benthamiana
Lineage: Eukaryota; Viridiplantae; Streptophyta; Magnoliopsida; Solanales; Solanaceae
Description: long non-coding RNA (NBEN_LNC007614)
Source: RNAcentral
UUGAAGGUAUGGAAGCUUAAAUUACUUAUCUGAGGAAAUGGAAAAAGUCCCUAGUUUAAAGUUCAGCAAAGCAGAUAACUUGAAUUUAUUCUGUCAAAUCUAUGCUGGAGAAUAUAAAAAAAACCUGCCUAUUAUCAUUGUAUUAGCUAAGAUAUAUCUGUUCCAUCUCUACGGAAACAUCUCACGUAUCAUAAAGACAAGUUAAAGAAAUAUCAACACAUUACAAUUUCAAGUUGCAAUUUAGUUAUAUAGAUACUCUUAAAAGUUGGGAAGAAGCAGGAUACAUGCAAAGGACAGG